This is a long non-coding RNA of Lagopus leucura (white-tailed ptarmigan), 956 nucleotides long. RefSeq lists it as uncharacterized. The record is from RefSeq and is a predicted model, not a curated record. NCBI's taxonomy places the organism in Eukaryota, Metazoa, Chordata, Aves, Galliformes, Phasianidae. The transcript is spliced from 3 exons.
CUCUGGAAAUUGUUUCCUUUAGCUGUGUUGUGUGGUUUAUGGUAUAGCUCCCUCAACACUUGUGCCUAGCAGCAGGAUGUGGGGUAAGGAAAUGUUCGUUCAGCAGAUAAAAUACCAGAAGUGCAGAAUUCUGGAUGGAUUAGAGGAAGAGGUAAAAGAGGAAGGAAGCACACAGGAGAUAAGUCUUAAUUGCUAUGAGGCAAUAAGAUACAACAGAAGCAAAGCUUACAGUUGCAGAGCUGUCAGUUUCUGAGCGAGGUUGGGAUAUAGCAAAAGACAAGAGGAUCAUAGAUUUUCUUUCUGUCACCACCACUUUAUUCUUUCACCAACAUAGCUUUGGCUUUGUUUCAGAAUGGGACAACUCAGUGAGUGAGAACUUCUCUUCCUCUGACUGUUAGGCUUCCUGUCAUUCUUUCCAAGCCCACUGAAGAACCUCUGAAAGAAAGUCUGUUGUACUCUUAGCAAUGACUUAUACAAAACAUGUUGACUAGUGCUGCAAAAACACACUAGAACAUUUUACAAGAGUGACAGAAUGAACUGUUUCUUUUCUCUCAUUUUCAUUCAAGGCAAAUUGAGCAGUGAUUCCACAUGGCUGAAUUGCUCCAGAUAUGUGAGGAUCUAAAUCCAGAUACCAGUGUCUUAUGCUAGACUCAAACUUGUAAGGACAGAUUCUGGUUCAACCUGCCGAUCUCAGGCUGCUUUCACUGUCUCUCAGCGGAGCUGCCAUAUCUGUGGCAUUUGCAGAAGUUUCAGCUUUAAUAGAUGCAUUCAGGAAGCUGCCUUGGUGGUAAUGACCAUCCAUUACACCUUCAUCUCCAAAAUACAAGAAGAUAAUUGGUUAAUACUUGUUCCCCAACAAGGGAAAAAAUACAUACUUUCCUUCCAUGUGUCUAAUGCUUUAUCACAACUACUGGUAUGUAUGGGAAGUGCUGAGUCAUGGCCUGAACCUCUGAUGG